GAAGUCAGCCAGACAGUCGCCGCGCCUUCGGGCGGGGAGGAAAGUCCGGGCUCCGCAGAGCAGGAUCUUGGGCCUUAACAGCCGGGCGCCGUGAGGCGACGGAAAGUGGAACAGAGAGCUGAACCGCCGAUGGCUCCUUCGGGAGAUCAGGUAAGGGUGAAAAGGUGCGGUAAGAGCGCACCGCGUCCGUGGUAACACGCGACGGCAGGCUAAACCCCAUCCGGAGCAAGACCAAAUAGGGGGGCGCUAACGUGGCUCGCGUUGUCCCCGGGUAGGUUGCUUGAGCCUGUCGGUAACGGCAGGACUAGAGGAAUGACUGUCCAACGACAAAACCCGGCUUAUCGACUGACUUCCCAC
RNAcentral lists this RNase P RNA (357 nucleotides) under Paludibacterium denitrificans. RNAcentral's name for it is "Bacterial RNase P class A". It matches the Rfam family "Bacterial RNase P class A". Rfam says of the family: Ribonuclease P (RNase P) is a ubiquitous endoribonuclease, found in archaea, bacteria and eukarya as well as chloroplasts and mitochondria. Its best characterised activity is the generation of mature 5'-ends of tRNAs by cleaving the 5'-leader elements of precursor-tRNAs. Cellular RNase Ps are ribonucleoproteins. The record is from Rfam by way of RNAcentral. Lineage: Bacteria; Pseudomonadati; Pseudomonadota; Betaproteobacteria; Neisseriales; Chromobacteriaceae.